RNAcentral lists this ribosomal RNA (870 nucleotides) under Hypocrella siamensis. RNAcentral's name for it is "eukaryotic LSU rRNA". It matches the Rfam family "Eukaryotic large subunit ribosomal RNA", at positions 36 to 917 of the family's 3401-position model. The record is from RNAcentral. Lineage: Eukaryota; Fungi; Ascomycota; Sordariomycetes; Hypocreales; Clavicipitaceae.
UAGCAUAUCAAUAAGCGGAGGAAAAGAAACCAACAGGGAUUGCCCCAGUAACGGCGAGUGAAGCGGCAACAGCUCAAAUUUGAAAUCUGGCCCCUCCCCCGGGGGGGCCCGAGUUGUAAUUUGCAGAGGAUGCUUCUGGCGAGGUGCCUUCCGAGUUCCCUGGAACGGGACGCCACAGAGGGUGAGAGCCCCGUCUGGUCGGACACCGAGCCUCUGUGAAGCUCCUUCGACGAGUCGAGUAGUUUGGGAAUGCUGCUCUAAAUGGGAGGUAUAUGUCUUCUAAAGCUAAAUACCGGCCAGAGACCGAUAGCGCACAAGUAGAGUGAUCGAAAGAUGAAAAGCACUUUGAAAAGAGGGUUAAACAGUACGUGAAAUUGUUGAAAGGGAAGCGCUCACGACCAGACCUGGUCCCGGCGAAUCACCCGGCGUUCUCGCCGGUGCACUUCGACGGGCUUCCAGGCCAGCAUCAGUCCGCGCCGGGGGACAAAGGCGGCGGGAACGUGGCUCCCCAGGGAGUGUUAUAGCCCGCCGCGCAAUGCCCCGGGGGCGGACUGAGGACCGCGCGUCACCGCAAGGAUGCUGGCGUAAUGGUCUUCAGCGACCCGUCUUGAAACACGGACCAAGGAGUCGUCCUCGUAUGCGAGUGUUGGGGCGUCAAACCCCCCGCGCGUAAUGAAAGUGAACGGCAGGUGAGAGCCCUCGCGGGCGCAUCAUCGACCGAUCCUGAUGUUCUCGGAUGGAUUUGAGUAAGAGCAUACGGGGCCGGACCCGAAAGAAGGUGAACUAUGCCUGUGUAGGGUGAAGCCAGAGGAAACUCUGGUGGAGGCUCGCAGCGGUUCUGACGUGCAAAUCGAUCGUCAAACAUGGGCA